This is a long non-coding RNA of Pseudophryne corroboree (corroboree frog), 970 nucleotides long. RefSeq lists it as uncharacterized. NCBI's taxonomy places the organism in Eukaryota, Metazoa, Chordata, Amphibia, Anura, Myobatrachidae. The record is from RefSeq and is a predicted model, not a curated record. The transcript is spliced from 3 exons.
CUCGCUGGGACCGUCACCGGUGCAAAGACUGCAGUUCACCGGCGGGUAGCCUGAUCUGUGUAACCCGCUGGAUCUGCAGUGACUGGCUUCCACUACCUGCGGAGGCAUGAGAAUCGGAGGUUACCAGCAGCUACUAAGGAUCCUCUGUGACCCUAUCUCCCGCUCUAUGCUCCUCCUCUACCUGACACUCAUGUGCUCCAAGAGCCGGGAGGGCACCGGCCACCUGUACCGCCCCCUGCUGAUGACAGUAUUUUGGGUGUGGGUGGGUUACUAUGGUGCGAGUGCCGGGCAGGAGGCACAGGACACAUGCCCACUGUCAGCGCUCGUCAUAUGCUCCAGAGUCCUGGCCCUAGCUAUAGGCAACUACCUAGGACAUGGGGAAAUCCUAGGGCCUGCAGAGCAGCAUGGCAUACUACUGUCAGUGUCAGCACAGCUGUGAAAGUGAAACUACAGAGGAGUCCGCUCAGGGGGCGUGGCUACACGGGUCACUGCUGCCUUCCUGCAAUGUGUGAAACUGAGGGGAGGAAUGGCUCUGAGCUGCAAUACUGGACAUUGUGAUAUGCUGCCAUGUAAUUGUCAUGUGUUAAGCAGCUGCCCGGGAUCUGCCACCACGAGGAGCCUGACUGCCAGCGAGGAGAGAUGGGCCGGCCUGACCAUUACAUCGCGGAGAGUACCAUAUGUGGAGGGUGCUGCUGCUGCCUUCUCAUGUCCUCCCGAGGUGUGCUCGCACACCUGCUGCACUGCUUAAAGAGAGAGCCUGGAUCACAGUGUGAGGUGAGUGGGGACCCAGGGAGGGAAACCACUGGGACAGGGUCGCACACUGCGGCCGCCAUCUUUCUGCACCUCUGCCUUAGUCACUCUAUACCUGUCACCCACUAUCUCCCUGUCAGCCCUGUCUCAGUCAAAGUAUAGAUAGCGUGGCGAGCCACCGUGCCCGCAGCAUGGCGAGCCCGCAAGGGGCUCAUUUGCG